This 752-nucleotide ribosomal RNA is filed under the name uncultured bacterium. RNAcentral's name for it is "bacterial SSU rRNA". It matches the Rfam family "Bacterial small subunit ribosomal RNA", at positions 31 to 811 of the family's 1533-position model. The record is from RNAcentral.
GAACGCUGGCGGCAGGCCUAACACAUGCUAGUCGAACGGAGUUAUAUUGUAGCUUGCUAUGGUAUAACUUAGUGGCAGACGGGUGAGUAAUGUAUAGGAAUCUACCUANUAGUACGGAAUAAUUGUUGGAAACGGCAACUAAUACCGUAUACGCCCUACGGGGGAAAAAUUUAUUGCUAUUAGAUGAGCCUAUAUUAGAUUAGCUAAUUGGUGGAGUAAUAGCCUACCAAGGCAAUGAUCUAUAGCUGAUCUGAGAGGAUGAUCAGCCACACUGGAACUGAGAUACGGUCCAGACUCCUACGGGAGGCAGCAGUGGGGAAUAUUGGACAAUGGGCGAAAGCCUGAUCCAGCCAUGCCGCAUGAGUGAAGAAGGCCUUUGGGUUGUAAAGCUCUUUUAGUGAGGAAGAUAAUGACGGUACUCACAGAAGAAGUCCUGGCUAACUCCGUGCCAGCAGCCGCGGUAAUACGGAGAGGGCUAGCGUUAUUCGGAAUUAUUGGGCGUAAAGGGCGCGUAGGCGGAUUAGUAAGUUAAAAGUGAAAUCCCAAGGCUCAACCUUGGAAUUGCUUUUAAAACUGCUAAUCUAGAGAUUGAAAGAGGAUAGAGGAAUUCCUAGUGUAGAGGUGAAAUUCGUAAAUAUUAGGAGGAACACCAGUGGCGAAGGCGUCUAUCUGGUUCAAAUCUGACGCUGAGGCNCGAAGGCGUGGGGAGCAAACAGGAUUAGAUACCCUGGUAGUCCACGCUGUAAACGAUG